UUAGCGGCGGACGGGUGAGUAACACGUGGGCAACCUGCCCCUUAGACUGGGAUAACUCCGGGAAACCGGAGCUAAUACCGGAUAAUCCCUUUCUCCACCUGGAGAGAGGGUGAAAGAUGGCUUCGGCUAUCACUAGGGGAUGGGCCCGCGGCGCAUUAGCUAGUUGGUAAGGUAACGGCUUACCAAGGCAACGAUGCGUAGCCGACCUGAGAGGGUGAUC
Molecule: ribosomal RNA, 220 nt
Filed under: Shouchella clausii
Lineage: Bacteria; Bacillati; Bacillota; Bacilli; Caryophanales; Bacillaceae
Description: partial 16S ribosomal RNA
Rfam family: Bacterial small subunit ribosomal RNA
Source: RNAcentral